Molecule: ribosomal RNA, 494 nt
Filed under: uncultured bacterium
Lineage: Bacteria
Description: partial 16S ribosomal RNA
Rfam family: Bacterial small subunit ribosomal RNA
Source: RNAcentral
GACGAACGCUGGCGGCGCGCUUAACACAUGCAAGUCGAACGGAAAGGCCUUCUUUCCCUUGUGGUUUGCGGGUACUCUAGUGGCGAACGGGUGAGUACCACGUGAGUUAUCUGCCCCCAACUUGGGUAUAAGCCUGGGUAACUGUGUCUAAUUCCCGAUACGACUUCAGGGUGGUUCCUUUGGUUGAAAACGAUUUUCUUGUGGUUGGGGAUAGGGUCGCGGCCUAUCAGCUUGUUGGUGGGGUACUGGCCUACCAAGGCGGGGACGGGUAGCCGGACUGAGAGGGUGGACAGCGAAAUUGGGACAGGGAGACGGCCCAGACGCGAACGGGAGGAAGGAGAGGGGAGAAAAGGAGAAUGGGGGGAAGCCAGAAGAAGCGACGGGGCGAGGGGGAUGACGGGCUUCGGGUGGUAAACUCCUGUCGACGAAGAGGAAGCAACCAGGAUGGAAGGGUGGUGACGGUAGUGGUAGAAGAAGCACCGGCUAACUACGUG